GUUAUGUAGAAGUAUUUUAUCUGAUGAAGUGACAUAAGUGAAGAUCCUAGUCCACUAGCAAUAGAUAUUGAGCCUUUCCAGUUUAAACCUGUACUUCAAGCAAAAGUAGACAGGCCAAGUUUACCUACCAUGGAAAACAAGUAAAGCUGAGUAAAUCAAAAAUACAAUUUGGUACAGGAAUGACUGGAAAUUGAAAACAGAAAGGUUCCAUCAGUACUGAUCAAAAGUAUAAGCGAACAACAUUUUAGUGACAGUUCAACAAUAUUUGCAGGAAUAUUUUAUCGUUCAGUUUUGAAUGGUUCAGUUUUGAAUGGACCUGUUUCAUACAAUAUGCGAUUCAUGCAAGAGUUAUGUUGUUUUAAAUUAAGUUCAUUCAACAUUACUAGAAAUACACAUUUAAGUAUUUGAUUAUUUUCGUUGUUUUGAAUAAAGAAUGCUUGUAGAUGGUG
This is a non-coding RNA of Ciona intestinalis (vase tunicate), 449 nucleotides long. The record is from RefSeq and is a predicted model, not a curated record. Lineage: Eukaryota; Metazoa; Chordata; Ascidiacea; Phlebobranchia; Cionidae.